AAUGAACGUUGGCGGUGUGGAUUAGGCAUGCAAGUCGUGCGCGAAACGUAGCAAUACGUGGAGAGCGGCGAAAGGGAGAGUAAUACAUGGUUAGCUGCCCUCGGGACUGGAAUAGCGGCGGGAAACUGCCGGUAAUGCCAGAUAACGUCUUCGGACCAAACGUGUAAACCGGCCCGAGGAGGUGACCAUGUCCUAUCAGCUAGUUGGCGGUGUAACGGACCACCAAGGCUAAGACGGGUAUGGGGCGUGAGAGCGUGCCCCCACUCACUGGGACUGAGAACUGCCCAGACACCUACGGGUGGCUGCAGUCGAGAAUCUUCGGCAAUGGGCGCAAGCCUGACCGAGCGACACCGCGUGCGGGAUGAAGGCCUUCGGGUUGUAAACCGCUGUCGUAGGGGAGGAAGGUCUGGUGUAUAGCCAGGCUUGACCGAUCCUAGGAGGAAGGGCCGGCUAAUCUCGUGCCAGCAGCCGCAGUAAAAC
This 480-nucleotide ribosomal RNA is filed under the name uncultured bacterium. RNAcentral's name for it is "bacterial SSU rRNA". It matches the Rfam family "Bacterial small subunit ribosomal RNA", at positions 29 to 526 of the family's 1533-position model. The record is from RNAcentral.